UACGUAGGGUGCGAACGUUAAUCGGAAUUACUGGGCGUAAAGCGUGCGCAGGCGGUUUUGUAAGCCAGAUGUGAAAUCCCCGGGCUUAACCUGGGAAUGGCAUUUGGGACUGCAAGGCUUGAGUGCGGCAGAGGAGACUGGAAUUCCUGGUGUAGCAGUGAAAUGCGUAGAUAUCAGGAGGAACACCGAUGGCGAAGGCAGGUCUCUGGGCUGACACUGACGCUCAUGCACGAAAGGCGUGGGGAGCAAACGAGGAUUAGAGUACCCGU
This 269-nucleotide ribosomal RNA is filed under the name uncultured bacterium. RNAcentral describes it as "partial 16S ribosomal RNA". It matches the Rfam family "Bacterial small subunit ribosomal RNA", at positions 524 to 790 of the family's 1533-position model. The record is from RNAcentral.